Molecule: long non-coding RNA, 1615 nt
Organism: Rattus norvegicus (Norway rat)
Lineage: Eukaryota; Metazoa; Chordata; Mammalia; Rodentia; Muridae
Source: RefSeq, a predicted model, not a curated record
GGGGAGGGGAGGGGGAAGUGAGCAGAUCAUUAGUUUCUACUAGACUUCACAAUUCUAGCAGGGAUGUUAAAUUGUUCUUUAAAUCGAGUUUUACUGUACAGGAGGAGAACAUUGGGGUUGGGAUGUCACAAAUGGAUAAAAGCAUCAGAAGGAGGUUUCCCAAGACAAAUGUCCCUUCUUAUCUGUGACAGGACCCUAGCAAUAGCCUUAGGGAAGUAGCUUGGGAGCCAGCACACUCAGUGUGUUUAUUCUGCGCACAUUAACUUAACAGGUGCUCGUUGACACUAACGAGGUAAGACACCUUGGGUGGCUGACCCCCACCAGGUCGUGGUUUUUGACAGAGGAAUCUAAUUACUUACUUUAUCAUAUGAAAUGGGAAGUAGCCAUGUCCCCUUAUUUGGCAGAAUUCAAAAUUUUACAAGUUAAUGAUUGUAAAAUUUCCUGCAGGUCUUGGUACCAUCCUGUCUAGACAAGAAACUAUUUUCUCUAUGGCCAAACAUGUUUUCUUAAUACUCAAAGUUUACCAAUGUGUCAACACAGCACUGAGAACUUUUGUUCCGCCAAUCCUGUACCAUGUCUGUGUCAUGGUCCUCACAUAGCACUGAGUCCUGGACCACAUCUAUGUCUUGACCCUCAGUUUACCUUUCUUUCCUCCCUCUUUUCUCUCCUACUGUCUCAGAUACCUUCUUUCUUUUAUUACCUCCCUUCCUUUCUUUCGAUCUCUCCUUCUCCCUCUCUCCUCCCUCCCCACCCAGUCUCCCUACUACAGAAUCCAUUUUUCUCCUCUUUUCUUUUUUUCCUUAUUGCCUCUCUUCUCCCCUUUCCAGUUUGAUCUUGUUUUGUUCUGUUUUUCCUCUUAGAGCCGCCCACAUGUGAAAAAGAGGACUUUGACCAGAAUAGAUUCAGGAUCAUACCAGUCCUCUGCGGAUUUUGGAAGAUGAGGGUAGCCCACUCUGGGAACACGUCUAUAAGUUGCUCCGAUUAACCGGCCUUGGUGAGGUUACAUAGUUCAGAAACCAGCCCCAGGCACAGGCAUGUGAAGGAAGGACAACAAAGAAAAGAAAAGGAGAUUCAGGCCCAGGCCCAGGAGCCACAGACCUGCAGAGAAGGAUGAAGCCACUGCCGUCCGAAGGCUGGCUAGAGGAACGCUCACUAGAUAGAUGACCAGGCCCGUACUGUUGCACUGUUUCCUCAGGGCAUCAUCUGGGGGACUCCUGAGCGGAAUCUGACUUGAUUUGGAAGCCAAAGAAGCCAGCGGUCGCGCAGUGAGUUUCUCGGAACUGUACUCCACAGACAUCUUUGGCGUGCUGUACCUUCAGCAGCCAGAAGAGGACGCUAGAUCUGCUGGAACCGCAGUUAUACAGACCGGUGUCUACUGAGAAUCAAAUGGAACUCAUCUGAAACAGCAGCGAGUGCCCUUAAUUGCCGAGCCAUCUCUUGAGACCCCCAGAAGUUUUGAUUUGGAUAUCUCUGUUGACUACCUUGGGUAUUCCUUGGUUAACUGACCUUGUGCUUUCCUAUCUUUUUGUCUAAUCUCUUUGUUUGAUUUUUACCGCCCCUCCCCUUGAUUUGUAAGAACAUAUUACUUAUAUGGAUACAAGUCAGUUGGCAGUUU